CGCAAGCCUGAUGCAGCCAUGCCGCGUGUAUGAAGAAGGCCUUCGGGUUGUAAAGUACUUUCAGCAGUGAGGAAGGUGGGUAUGUUAAUAGCAUACUCAUUUGACGUUAGCUGCAGAAGAAGCACCGGCUAACUCCGUGCCAGCAGCCGCGGUAAUACGGAGGGUGCGAGCGUUAAUCGGAAUUACUGGGCGUAAAGCGCAUGCAGGUGGUUUGUUAAGUCAGAUGUGAAAGCCCGGGGCUCAACCUCGGAAUUUGCUAUUUGAAAACUGGACAAACUAGAGUACUGGUAGAGGGGGUAGAAUUUCAGGUGUAGCGGUGAAAUGCGUAGAGAUCUGAAGGAAUACCGGUGGCGAAGGCGGCCCCCUGGACAGAUACUGACACUCAGAUGCGAAAGCGUGGGGAGCAAACAGGAUUAGAUACCCUGGUAG
Molecule: ribosomal RNA, 429 nt
Filed under: uncultured bacterium
Lineage: Bacteria
Description: bacterial SSU rRNA
Rfam family: Bacterial small subunit ribosomal RNA
Source: RNAcentral